RNAcentral lists this microRNA precursor (247 nucleotides) under Pelobates cultripes (western spadefoot toad). The record is from RNAcentral. Lineage: Eukaryota; Metazoa; Chordata; Amphibia; Anura; Pelobatidae.
GCAUGCCAUUUGCAAAUGUAGACAUCCCAAGGUAUUGCAAGUGGGGUAUGUCUAGUCCCUCUUAGUAGCCACUUCGUUACAAAUACUUUGAAAAGUUAGCAUUCUAAUUUUUUAUUUUUUUUUAAACACAAAAACAAAUAUGAAUGCUAAUGUUGGUCAGUAUAUGUGACGAAGUGGCUAAAAAAAAAGAAGCUGGAUAUACCCAGUAUUGAAUACCCUGGGUUUUCUACUUUUGCAAAUGGUACGC